GAUGAACGCUGGCGGCGUGCUUAACACAUGCAAGUCGAACGGGAUCCAAGGGGUGCUUGCACUUUUUGGUGAGAGUGGCGAACGGGUGAGUAACACGUGAGUAACCUGUCCUUUUCUUUGGGAUAAGCAUUCGAAAGGGUGUUUAAUACCUUAUGUUCUGUCUGCCUCGCAUGGGGUGGGUGGGAAAGGCUUUGGCCGGAUUUGGGUGGGCUCGCGGUCUAUCUGCGUGUUGGUGGGGUGAUGGCUUACCAAGGCUUUGACGGGUAGCCGGCCUGAGAGGGUGGUCGGUCACAUCGGGACUGAGAUCCGGCCCAGAAUCCGGCGGAGGGCAGCAGUGGGGGAUAUUGCACAAUGGGCGAAAGCCUGAUGCAGCGACGCCGCGUGGGGGAUGAAGGCGUUCGGGUUGUAAACUUCUUUUGCUCUGAACAAGGCAUGCCAGUGGGUGUGUUGAGUGUAGGGGUUGAUUAGCGCCGGCUAACUACGUG
Molecule: ribosomal RNA, 485 nt
Filed under: uncultured bacterium
Lineage: Bacteria
Description: partial 16S ribosomal RNA
Rfam family: Bacterial small subunit ribosomal RNA
Source: RNAcentral